AAGACAAAUAUAUAUUUGAGAUUGUGGUCAAAAGUAUAGGUGUUCCCUAUAAAAACAUCACGGCAGGCCUUUAUCGGCCUAUCACGCACUGACGGUAAAAAAUAUCAACUCGGUGCGGGAGGAGGCCUAUUGUGGCCCGCCGUCCCAACAGGCUGUUGGCGGCCCGGUACCGCACAGAGCGCCCGCCUCGCCAAUUAGUGUUGGGUAAGCUAUCGGAACUGACGUACGUCACGUUUUUUUUAUUCCUUUUUAUGUUGAAGGUGAUUCCUUCUGUUUCGAGUUGACGACGUUCUACCUCUGCAACAGGAAAUCAAGUAACACCUACGGCCGAUCAUAUCCUUGAGAUGAGCGGUAAACGGCGAAAUUGUGUAGGGUGCUAUGAAAAACUGCGGGAAACCAUGAAGAGUUCCGAGGUGAAAAGGAAAGUAAAAAAAUUUAAAACAUACUGCAGAAUGUGCAAGCAAAAUCUUUGUGCGAAAUGUUUUAAAGACAGCCAUUAAUAAAUAAUUAAAUAAACAAUUUUUAUUUCUUUACUUUAA
Long non-coding RNA from Bombyx mori (domestic silkworm), 539 nucleotides. RefSeq lists it as uncharacterized. The record is from RefSeq and is a predicted model, not a curated record. The transcript has 2 exons. Lineage: Eukaryota; Metazoa; Arthropoda; Insecta; Lepidoptera; Bombycidae.